AAAAUAAAAAGAGAUGUUAUAAAUGAAAAACAAAAUUAAAAUAAAAUACAAUAUUAUAUACUUAGCUUGCCUAUUUCCUUGGAAUGACACUUUUAAUGAAAUUAUUGAGUAUAGAACUUGUCACGUAUCUAUUGCUUAUUGGAUGGCGCUAGCUAGCAUGUAGAUUUUCCCUUCUUUAUUUAUUAAAUGUACUUCUUUUUAUUCAAAUAUAAUGUUAUUCUACUUCAUUUGAAUAAAUGUACUUCUUUUUAUUCAAAGACAAUGGUAUUCUACUUCAUUUGAAAAAAUGAUAUUCUACUUUAAGGGAAAAAAAGAUUGAGUUAAUUUGCACAAUGGAUUAGUCACACUAUAUGUAUCCAACUAAAACAAAUAGUAUAGGUAUGAUGAUAGGUCACACAAUGUACCGACACAAAUAUUAUAAGUAUAUGUUAUUCAUAUGAGUUGAAUUUAAAACUCUCCAUUUACAAAUGAUGAUUGAUGAGAAAUAUCAUUAUAUACUGUAAUCUUAAUCCAGUUUUAUUAUAUUUUAAAUGUGGUAGGAUGCCCUCGGAUAAG
This 555-nucleotide long non-coding RNA is filed under the name Malus domestica (apple). Its description in RNAcentral is "long non-coding RNA (MDOM_LNC014164)". The record is from RNAcentral. Lineage: Eukaryota; Viridiplantae; Streptophyta; Magnoliopsida; Rosales; Rosaceae.